CCUACGGGCGGCAGCAGUGAGGAAUAUUGGUCAAUGGUCGGGAGACUGAACCAGCCAAGCCGCGUGAGGGAUGAAGGUACAGAGUAUCGUAAACCUCUUUUGUCAGGGAACAAAGGCGGGGACGUGUCCUCGGUUGAGUGUACCUGAAGAAAAAGCAUCGGCUAACUCCGUGCCAGCAGCCGCGGUAAUACGGAGGAUGCGAGCGUUAUCCGGAUUUAUUGGGUUUAAGGGGUGCGCAGGCGGUCUGUUAGGUCAGCGGGCAAAGCUUGGGGCUCAACCCCGGCCCGCCGUUGAAACUGGCAGUCUCGAGGUGAGUAGAGGUAGGCGGAAUGCGCGGUGUAGCGGUGAAAUGCAUAGAUAUCGCGCAGAACUCCGAUUGCGAAGGCAGCAUGCCGGCUCCACACUGACGCUGAGGCACGAAAGCGUGGGUAUCGAACAGGAUUAGAUACCCUGGUAGUC
This 459-nucleotide ribosomal RNA is filed under the name uncultured bacterium. RNAcentral's name for it is "partial 16S ribosomal RNA". It matches the Rfam family "Bacterial small subunit ribosomal RNA", at positions 338 to 795 of the family's 1533-position model. The record is from RNAcentral.